RNAcentral lists this ribosomal RNA (403 nucleotides) under Uroglena sp. RNAcentral's name for it is "SSU rRNA". It matches the Rfam family "Eukaryotic small subunit ribosomal RNA", at positions 592 to 998 of the family's 1831-position model. Lineage: Eukaryota; Chrysophyceae; Chromulinales; Chromulinaceae. The record is from RNAcentral.
CAAUAGCGUAUACUAAAGUUGUUGCAGUUAAAAAGCUCGUAGUUGAAUUUCUGGUCUCGGACAUCGGUCUGCCUCAAACGAGGUAUGUACCAGUUGUUUGAAUCCAUCCUCGGGGAAAACGUAUCUGUCAUUUAAUUGAUGGACGCGGGGUCCCCGUCAUUUACUGUGAGCAAAAUAGAGUGUUCAAAGCAGGCUUAUGCCGUUGAAUACAUUAGCAUGGAAUAAUAAGAUAGGACCUUGGUCUAUUUUGUUGGUUUGACUCCAAGGUAAUGAUUAAUAGGGAUAGUUGGGGGUAUUCGUAUUCAAUUGUCAGAGGUGAAAUUCUUGGAUUUAUGGAAGACGAACUACUGCGAAAGCAUUUACCAAGGAUGUUUUCAUUAAUCAAGAACGAAAGUUAGGGGAU